GCCGGACACGUCCGGCCCUCUAAUGCAGCCGAAGCUAGUCGCAAGCCUGGAAAAAUGCAGAGCGGAGG
RNAcentral lists this non-coding RNA (68 nucleotides) under Blautia hydrogenotrophica DSM 10507. Lineage: Bacteria; Bacillati; Bacillota; Clostridia; Lachnospirales; Lachnospiraceae. The record is from RNAcentral.